This 466-nucleotide ribosomal RNA is filed under the name uncultured bacterium. RNAcentral describes it as "bacterial SSU rRNA". It matches the Rfam family "Bacterial small subunit ribosomal RNA", at positions 28 to 481 of the family's 1533-position model. The record is from RNAcentral.
GAUGAACGCUAGCUACAGGCUUAACACAUGCAAGUCGAGGGGCAGCAUUAUCGAAGCUUGCUUUGAUAGAUGGCGACCGGCGCACGGGUGAGUAACGCGUAUCCAACCUUCCCCAUAGUCAGGAAUAGCCCGGCGAAAGUCGAAUUAAUGCCUGAUGUUUUCCACGGACGGCAUCCGAUGUGGAACAAAGAUUCAUCGCUAUGGGAUGGGGAUGCGUCUGAUUAGCUUGUUGGCGGGGUAACGGCCCACCAAGGCAACGAUCAGUAGGGGUUCUGAGAGGAAGGUCCCCCACAUUGGAACUGAGACACGGUCCAAAACUCCUACGGGAGGCAGCAGUGAGGAAUAUUGGUCAAUGGGGCGAGAGCCUGAACCAGCCAAGUAGCGUGCAGGAUGACGGCCCUAUGGGUUGUAAACUGCUUUUAUAAGGGAAUAAAGUGAGUCUCGUGAGACUUUUUGCAUGUACCUU